Long non-coding RNA from Zea mays, 661 nucleotides. RefSeq lists it as uncharacterized. Lineage: Eukaryota; Viridiplantae; Streptophyta; Magnoliopsida; Poales; Poaceae. The record is from RefSeq and is a predicted model, not a curated record. The transcript is spliced from 2 exons.
UCCGACCCACCCAUCAACAUGGACACACCACCACGGAGGCCGAGCUGCGGGAGAACGAGUUCUGGAUCACGUGCCACACCAAGCUCGCAUGCACCAUGGGCCGCUGACUGGCACCUCGCCGCCAUGGAGGUGCAUAAGUGGUGGUACCUCAGCGACAUCCUGGCCCGCCCCUCCCUCCUCCCCCUCACGCCUCGCCGCUACCUCGGAGGCGUGAAGCUUCUCCUCCCCUCUUCGGCGCAACAGUAGCAGCCGUCUCUGCCUCCGUCCCCUGCUGGACCGUCGAAAUCCGCUCGGGUUUGGGCUAUUCUUCUGUGAUGUGAUCACCCAAUUCGGUCAUUUGCGGUGGUUGUGCUUAAAGAUUUCUCAUAGUGUACAACAGUUCCCCUCAAAAGGUCUCAAGCUGCAGACGUAUCUCAAGAAGAGCAAAACAAUAUCCCGAAAGAUUUAGAAAAAGAAGACAUAAUACAUGCACUACGAAGACGUAAAAUAGACGUUGUUGAUUUUGAAUUGCUCACCAUUAUUUUGUUCUUUCCAUUUCAAUGUGCGGGUAUAAUCCCAACAUGUGUUGUUGGAGUUGACUAUGCUGUAAAAAGAGGUAAAAAAGUGUACAUCUGACAAACCACCUUGACUUUUUUAUUGAUGCUCUAUCUUAAUAAUGUAA